RNAcentral lists this ribosomal RNA (253 nucleotides) under uncultured prokaryote. Its description in RNAcentral is "partial 16S ribosomal RNA". It matches the Rfam family "Bacterial small subunit ribosomal RNA", at positions 524 to 776 of the family's 1533-position model. The record is from RNAcentral.
UACAGAGGGGGCAAGCGUUGUUCGGAAUUACUGGGCGUAAAGGGCGCGUAGGCGGCCUGUUAAGUCGAACGUGAAAUCCCCGGGCUCAACCCGGGAACUGCGUCCGAUACUGGCAGGCUUGAAUUCGGGAGAGGGAUGCGGAAUUCCAGGUGUAGCGGUGAAAUGCGUAGAUAUCGGAAGGAACACCUGUGGCGAAAGCGGCUCACUGGACCAUUACUGACGCUGAGGCACGAAAGCUAGGGGAGCAAACAGG